UCAAAAAGACAAGAAGCUGAGGUCAUCAGCUUAUCCACAGGACAAGGAGGAGCCAAGGCCCAGACAGCUCUUUCCCACCCAGCUCUGCUGGUGACCCUCAACCCUGUACCGGCAAGCAGAGGAAACUGAACUCAGUCUCCCUUCUGACUUAUUUUUUCUCCUUU
This is an unclassified non-coding RNA of Prolemur simus (greater bamboo lemur), 164 nucleotides long. The record is from Ensembl. Lineage: Eukaryota; Metazoa; Chordata; Mammalia; Primates; Lemuridae.